This is a long non-coding RNA of Notolabrus celidotus (New Zealand spotty), 226 nucleotides long. RefSeq lists it as uncharacterized. Lineage: Eukaryota; Metazoa; Chordata; Actinopteri; Labriformes; Labridae. The transcript is spliced from 2 exons. The record is from RefSeq and is a predicted model, not a curated record.
AGUAAAGAAAUAACUGUCUGAAAAAGUCCCUGGGAGGGUUAAAGUCCCUAAAAAGGGUUAGAAGCCCUUAAGUUAAAGGGUUAAAGUCCCUGAAGGGUUAAAGUCCCUGACCAAAUGUUUUAAACCAAGGUUUAGAAGAAACCUGGAGGUGCACGGACGCGUGGCCUUUACAACAGCGCGCUGUGGGGAACAGACAGAUAGUAAAUAAAAUAAAAUAAAAUAAAAA